AUGGAGAGGAGGAGGAAGGCAAUGUGGCUGUACCCGAAGGUGGUCGGCUUCAACCCUCCCGAGAGAUGGGGGCACUCCGCCUGCUUCUUCGAGGGAGUCAUUUACGUCUUCGGGGGAUGCUGCGGCGGCCUGCAUUUCAGCGACGUGCUCACCCUCAACCUGGACACAAUGGCGUGGAGCUCCCUGGCGACCAAGGGGCAGAGGCCCGGGACACGGGACAGCCACGGCGCCGCGCUCAUCGGCCACCGGAUGCUCGUCUUCGGCGGCACCAACGGCAACAAGAAGGUGAACGACCUUCACGUGCUGGACCUACGCACCAAGGAGUGGAGCAGGCCUCCCUGCAAGGGGACCCCGCCCUCGCCAAGGGAGAGCCACACCGUCACCACGGCGGCCGGCGGCGACAAGCUGGUGGUCUUCGGCGGGAGCGGGGAAGGGGAGGGGAACUACCUCAACGACGUGCACGUGCUGGACCUGCCCACCAUGACGUGGACGUCGCCACGGGUCACCGGCGAGGUCGUCCCCGCGCCCAGGGACAGCCACGGCGCCGUCACGGUCGGCAACAGGCUCUUCGUCUACGGAGGGGACUGCGGAGACCGCUACCUCGGCGAGGUGGACGUGCUCGACAUGGACACCAUGGCAUGGUCAAGGUUUUCAGUAAAAGGAGCCUCACCUGGUGUCCGGGCAGGUCAUGCAGCCCUUGGCAUUGGAUCUAAGAUCUAUGUAAUUGGAGGAGUUGGUGAUAAGCAAUACUACAGUGAUGCAUGGAUUCUUGAUGUGGUUGAUCGGUCUUGGACUCAACUUGAGACGUGCGGGCAGCAACCCCAGGGCCGGUUUUCUCAUUCAGCAGUCAUCAUGAAUACUGAUAUUGCAAUCUAUGGAGGAUGCGGUGAAGAUGAACGGCCCCUGAAUGAGCUACUCGUUCUGCAAUUAGGCUCUGGGCAUCCAAAUGGCCGAUACAACAUCUCCAUGUGCAAGAUUUUGAGCAACCACUGGAGUCAGGAGAAGCGCAAGCUGUUGAGAGCACAACACCACAAGGAUGCAAGCCCAAGCAACCGGGAACUCGGUCAUAAACCUGGAGAAGCAGAAAUUGAGCAAAUUAGAAACCCUUUCCUCCGUGGUCUAGAAAAUGGGCAUGUGAAAAGAAGAAAAACUGGAGAUGCUGGUCCAAAUGAGAUGGAGUUGGAGCAGGAGGAGCACUCACUAUCGCUGUCCCAGCAUUCGUCCCCUUCCCAGUCCGAAAAAGAUCAGGAGCAGAAUGGAGCUCAGAUGAUUUCAGGCGGGUUAAUCUCAUCAGCAAUGCAACCGUUGGUUCGUCUUAACGCCAACGGUUCUCGAAGGACUAGCGGAGGCAUCAAGACUGACCAGUUUGUCCGCGGCAUUGCACCGCAGCAACGACACGAAAUGCAGUUCCUAACAGCUGAAGCUAAGCAGCAGCACAGGCCAUCCGGCCCACCUCUUAUUGGAGCUGAGGUUCAUGGGACGGUUGAUGGAGCUUUCGACUCGGGGUAUCUGGUCACAGCCGUCGUCAGUGGGCAGCUUUUCAGAGGCGUUCUGUUCGCUCCUGGACCCGGAGUAACAGCGCCAAGACCUGUAAUGCAGCAUCAGAUUCUCAAUAGCUCGGCGAUUCCUCCCCAGCACCAGCACGCCUUCCCGGUUCACGCCCGACCGCUGCCGCAGGCCACAGGCUUUGUACGGCCUGACUACAGUCACCAUGCUCGGCGUGGGUUCCCGGCCAGACUUGUCAAGUCCGAGCCGGAGAGGAGCGGCAGUGACCUUCACCAUGUUGUGCUCACGCUCGGAGGCCCAGGAGGGGGCAACUGA
RNAcentral lists this ribosomal RNA (1821 nucleotides) under Triticum aestivum (bread wheat). RNAcentral describes it as "partial small subunit ribosomal RNA". The record is from RNAcentral. Lineage: Eukaryota; Viridiplantae; Streptophyta; Magnoliopsida; Poales; Poaceae.